GGGGACUAAUUUUCAAGACAAUAUCAAGCUCAAUGAUUGAAGUUCCAAUCCAACAUUGAUAGAUGAGUGAUCUUCAAAGGAAAAAGAUAUUCAGGAGCAUUACAUGCAACUUAUUUUGUUUCAUUGCAAAGCUUCAACUAGACUACGGUAUAGUGAGUGCAUUCAAUAGCUAAUUCAUCAAUAGAACUAAAAUACUCAACUCAACUAAGCCUUU
RNAcentral lists this unclassified non-coding RNA (214 nucleotides) under Hevea brasiliensis (rubber tree). Lineage: Eukaryota; Viridiplantae; Streptophyta; Magnoliopsida; Malpighiales; Euphorbiaceae. The record is from RNAcentral.